AAAACCAGAUGGCAAUGGCAAUGGAGUUCAUUACUCGGGAAACCAUCAAACCAUCCUCUCCAACCCCAAUUCACCUCAGGAAUUUCAAGCUCUCCCUUCUUGAUCAGCUUGCUCCUGUGUGUUAUGGAUCUCUGCUUCUCUUCUACUCUAUAAAUGCCCAAAUCAAUCACCACCUUACACUUUCAGAAAGAUCCCAGCUUUUGAAGACAU
RNAcentral lists this unclassified non-coding RNA (210 nucleotides) under Hevea brasiliensis (rubber tree). The record is from RNAcentral. Lineage: Eukaryota; Viridiplantae; Streptophyta; Magnoliopsida; Malpighiales; Euphorbiaceae.